This 524-nucleotide ribosomal RNA is filed under the name uncultured bacterium. RNAcentral's name for it is "bacterial SSU rRNA". It matches the Rfam family "Bacterial small subunit ribosomal RNA", at positions 524 to 1050 of the family's 1533-position model. The record is from RNAcentral.
UACGGAGGAUGCAAGCGUUAUCCGGAUUUAUUGGGUUUAAAGGGUGCGUAGGCGGAUUAAUAAGUCAGCGGUGAAACUCACAGGCUCAACCUGUGCCGUGCCGUUGAAACUGUUUAUCUUGAAUGCGGAUGCUGUGGGAGGAAUGUGUAGUGUAGCGGUGAAAUGCAUAGAUAUUACACAGAACACCGAUUGCGAAGGCAUCUCACAAAGCCGUGAUUGACGCUGAGGCACGAAAGUGUGGGGAUCAAACAGGAUUAGAUACCCUGGUAGUCCACUACUGUAAACGAUGAUAACUCGCUGCCGGCGAUAUAUAGUCGGUGGCCCAGCGAAAGCGAUAAGUUAUCCACCUGGGGAGUACGACCGCAAGGUUGAAACUCAAAGGAAUUGACGGGGGCCCGCACAAGCGGAGGAACAUGUGGUUUAAUUCGAUGAUACGCGAGGAACCUUACCCGGGCUCGAACGGCAGAUGACGUAUACAGAGACGUAUAUUCUCUUCGGAGCGUCUGUCGAGGUGCUGCAUGGUU